Molecule: microRNA precursor, 78 nt
Filed under: Trichobilharzia regenti
Lineage: Eukaryota; Metazoa; Platyhelminthes; Trematoda; Strigeidida; Schistosomatidae
Description: mir-3492 microRNA precursor family
Rfam family: mir-3492 microRNA precursor family
Source: Rfam by way of RNAcentral
AGCCUUCUGUAUCCGUGCUGAGGUUUCUUCAGAAAUCAAGCCGUUGAGUCUGAUGGUACUUCCCAAAUAAGUGAAGCG